RNAcentral lists this ribosomal RNA (484 nucleotides) under uncultured bacterium. RNAcentral describes it as "partial 16S ribosomal RNA". It matches the Rfam family "Bacterial small subunit ribosomal RNA", at positions 30 to 507 of the family's 1533-position model. The record is from RNAcentral.
AGUGAACGCUGGCGGCAGGCCUAACACAUGCAAGUCGAGCGGCAGCGGGUCCUUCGGGCUGCCGGCGAGCGGCGGACGGGUGAGGAAUACAUCGGAAUCUGCCCUGUCGUGGGGGAUAACCUAGGGAAACUUGGGCUAAUACCGCAUACGACCUACGGGUGAAAGCGGGGGAUCGCAAGACCUCGCGCGACAGGAUGAGCCGAUGUCCGAUUAGCUAGUUGGCGGGGUAAAGGCCCACCAAGGCGACGAUCGGUAGCUGGUCUGAGAGGAUGAUCAGCCACACUGGGACUGAGACACGGCCCAGACUCCUACGGGAGGCAGCAGUGGGGAAUAUUGGACAAUGGGCGCAAGCCUGAUCCAGCCAUGCCGCGUGGGUGAAGAAGGCCUUCGGGUUGUAAAGCCCUUUUGUCCGGGAAGAAAUCGUCUGGGCUAAUACCCCGGGCGGAUGACGGUACCGGAAGAAUAAGCACCGGCUAACUUCGUG